AGGGGAGUACUCAGUUUCCUUUGUUCUUUUAUGUUUCUUACACAUUGAGGACAAUGCAUGAUUUAGGUGUGGGGGUGCAUAAUUCUGAAUUUUUUAAUUUUUGCUUUAAUUUUCAGUUUGAAUUUUUAUUUUCAUUUUCAGUGUGAUUUUUUUCAAUUUUUCGUUUUGCUUUCAAUAACACAACACAGAUAGCCACAGUUUUUUUUUUAUUUAUUUUUGUUUCCGUUUCUGAGAUGCUUUACUCAAUCUCAUAAACUAUGUUGGAUGAGCUUUUCUUUCCAUGAC
Molecule: long non-coding RNA, 285 nt
Filed under: Manihot esculenta (cassava)
Lineage: Eukaryota; Viridiplantae; Streptophyta; Magnoliopsida; Malpighiales; Euphorbiaceae
Description: long non-coding RNA (MESC_LNC008538)
Source: RNAcentral